CGCUUGGCCGCGAGAUACGCGAUUCCAUUCACAACUGCGCUUUUUGUGCGUUUCUUUUUCCAUCCAAUCGCUUCUCAGGGGGCUGCACACUAUUUAGCGAGAGACAAACGACAGCACCACAGUUCUGGCUGAGGAACGGCGUGUUCUCUCACAAACUACACCGGGGGAACGGCACACGUACGGCACCGACAGACACAUGCACAAGCGCGACAUUCACACUACACGCAGGGCACAAACACAGACGAGCGUUCCAAAACAAUUAAACAGCUCCCGUUGCGGUUCACAAACACGAAUGGAAUGUUUUGACAGGCUGCAGAAAAGUCUUUCGCCGACACGCACACACUUGCAGAGCCAUCGACGAGUAUUCGAACCGUGUUUCAAAUGCAGGGGUGCUCAACUGAACGGUAACUGAACUCAACUUUAAAAUAAAACUGGACUUCUUGAUGCGACUGACGAAAACUCCGAAAAUGAACCGUUCGCGACAAGUGAUUCAAUAAAACUCCACAGCCGUACUUAAAAGCUCUGCUUUUAUACCUAUCCCGCGACCAACAACCAAUGACUACUUUGGUUUUACUCUCGGAAGUAGAGCCUACUGCGCCUAAAUUUUUCUCAACCCAGAACAUUCGGACGUUGCGAAGCAAUGAAAAGCUAGGUCCUGUUUCUCCAUCGUGGAAUUAAAAUAUAAGAUUGAAUGAUUUAUAA
Long non-coding RNA from Anopheles stephensi (Asian malaria mosquito), 702 nucleotides. RefSeq lists it as uncharacterized. The transcript is spliced from 2 exons. The record is from RefSeq and is a predicted model, not a curated record. NCBI's taxonomy places the organism in Eukaryota, Metazoa, Arthropoda, Insecta, Diptera, Culicidae.